RNAcentral lists this long non-coding RNA (442 nucleotides) under Erythranthe guttata (spotted monkey flower). RNAcentral's name for it is "long non-coding RNA (EGUT_LNC002809)". Lineage: Eukaryota; Viridiplantae; Streptophyta; Magnoliopsida; Lamiales; Phrymaceae. The record is from RNAcentral.
CGCGAACCGCUGCCAUGUCCGGUCCGGUUAGAUCUAAAAACCCAAAAACGCCAAAAAACCGGGUCAACUAUCAAAAUCCCGGUUCGACCGGUAAGAACCGGAAAACCCGGAACCCAGUCGUAGAACCGGGUUUUAGCUAAAAAAUACAUGUCUUGGCCGGAUCUGCGUCGAUGGUGGCUGAAUCUCGUCGGAGAAGGACAGAAGGUUGUAGAUGAACAGAUCUAGACGGAUCUUAGUCGUAUGUGGCACAAUAGAAGUGAUGGCCGCCAUAUCUAUCGACUGAAGAAAAUGAAAGGAUGAAGGUGAAAGUUAAAAUGAAUAGAAAAAUUAAAACGAAGUGGAGAAAUGUGGCGGCGGUGAGAAGAAAGAACUGGGAAGAAAGAAAGGAAGAAGAAGAAGAAAAGAAGAAAAGAAGAAAUAAAGAAAAGAAGAAAGAGAGUAG